Molecule: ribosomal RNA, 400 nt
Filed under: Candidatus Bathyarchaeota archaeon
Lineage: Archaea; Thermoproteati; Candidatus Bathyarchaeota
Description: bacterial SSU rRNA
Rfam family: Archaeal small subunit ribosomal RNA
Source: RNAcentral
AGAGCGGGAGCCCGGAGAUGGGCACUGAGACAAGGGCCCAGGCCCUACGGGGCGCAGCAGUUGCGAAAACUCCGCAAUGCACGAAAGUGUGACGGGGCUACCCCGAGUGCCGUCCGCUGAGGGCGGCUUUUCCCUGGUGUAAGGAGCCGGGGGAAUAAGGAGAGGGCAAGUCUGGUGUCAGCCGCCGCGGUAAUACCAGCUCUCCGAGUGGUAGGGAUAAUUAUUGGGCUUAAAGCGUCCGUAGCCGGCCUGGCAAGUCUUCCGUUAAAUCCAACGAUUCAAUCGUUGGACUGCGGGAUAUACUGUCGGGCUAGGAGACGGGAGAGGCCGACGGUAUUCUCGGGGUAGGGGUAAAAUCCUAUAAUCCCGGGAAGACCACCAGUGGCGAAGGCGGUCGGCU